UACAGAGGGUGCGAGCGUUAAUCGGAAUUACUGGGCGUAAAGCGCAUGUAGGCGGUUGGGCAAGUGGCGUGUGAAAGCUCCCGGCUAAACUGGGAGAGGACACGUCAGACUGCCCGGCUAGAGGUCGGUAGAGGGGCGCAGAAUUCGGGGUGUAGCGGUGAAAUGUGUAGAGAUCCCGAGGAAUACCAGUGGUGAAGACGGCGCCCUGGGCCGAACCUGACGCUGAGAUGCGAAAGCGUGGGGAGCGAACGGG
This 253-nucleotide ribosomal RNA is filed under the name uncultured bacterium. Its description in RNAcentral is "partial 16S ribosomal RNA". It matches the Rfam family "Bacterial small subunit ribosomal RNA", at positions 524 to 776 of the family's 1533-position model. The record is from RNAcentral.